This 405-nucleotide long non-coding RNA is filed under the name Lupinus mutabilis. RNAcentral's name for it is "partial ncRNA". Lineage: Eukaryota; Viridiplantae; Streptophyta; Magnoliopsida; Fabales; Fabaceae. The record is from RNAcentral.
GCGCUGAAACCAACGUACACUUUUCUCACUCUUCACUCUUCUGUCACUCUCUUGUGGGGUCAUUUUCUCUCUAUGUCUUGUCUUUUCAAUCUUUUCUCUCUCUUUGGUCCCAUUCCCAUUCUCUCUCUCUCUCUCUCUCUCUUUCUCUCUACCAUAUCACUGCACCACAACAAGACACUGCUCCUCGUUUUCCACUUUCUCUUUGUUUUUUAAGAACCCACUUCUUCAUCAACCAUACCUCACCUUCUUACAAAAAGCACCACUCUUUCACUAAGGUUACAUUUUCAUCUUCUUCAUUCUUAACCAUUUGGGGUGCUUCAAUUUCUCUUUUUUCUCUCUUUUUAUAUAAAAAGUUUGUUUUUUUUAAGCUUUAGCUAUGUGGGUUGUGGAGUGUGAAGGAAAAGA